Molecule: ribosomal RNA, 492 nt
Filed under: uncultured bacterium
Lineage: Bacteria
Description: partial 16S ribosomal RNA
Rfam family: Bacterial small subunit ribosomal RNA
Source: RNAcentral
AGUGAACGCUGGCGGUAGACCUAACACAUGCAAGUCGAACGGCAGCACAGUAAGAGCUUGCUCUUACGGGUGGUGAGUGGCGGACGGGUGAGGAAUACAUCGGAAUCUACUUUUUCGUGGGGGAUAACGUAGGGAAACUUACGCUAAUACCGCAUACGACCUACGGGUGAAAGCAGGGGAUCUUCGGACCUUGCGCGAUUGAAUGAGCCGAUGUCGGAUUAGCUAGUUGGCGGGGUAAAGGCCCACCAAGGCGACGAUCCGUAGCUGGUCUGAGAGGAUGAUCAGCCACACUGGAACUGAGACACGGUCCAGACUCCUACGGGAGGCAGCAGUGGGGAAUAUUGGACAAUGGGCGCAAGCCUGAUCCAGCCAUACCGCGUGGGUGAAGAAGGCCUUCGGGUUGUAAAGCCCUUUUGUUGGGAAAGAAAAGCAGCAGGUUAAUACCCCGCUGUUCUGACGGUACCCAAAGAAUAAGCACCGGCUAACUUCGUA